This 441-nucleotide ribosomal RNA is filed under the name Scinax boesemani group sp. ABGD cluster 8. Its description in RNAcentral is "partial large subunit ribosomal RNA". It matches the Rfam family "Bacterial large subunit ribosomal RNA", at positions 1816 to 2460 of the family's 2925-position model. Lineage: Eukaryota; Metazoa; Chordata; Amphibia; Anura; Hylidae. The record is from RNAcentral.
UCGCCUCUUGCCCCAAACAUAAGAGGUCCAGCCUGCCCAGUGACUAUUGUUCAACGGCCGCGGUAUCCUAACCGUGCGAAGGUAGCGUAAUCACUUGUUCUUUAAAUGAGGACUAGUAUGAAUGGCAUCACGAGGGUUAUACUGUCUCCUCUCUCUAAUCAGUGAAACUAAUCUCCCCGUGAAGAAGCGGGGAUAAAAUUAUAAGACGAGAAGACCCUAUGGAGCUUUAAGUAAAUCUUCAAACGCUUGUACACCCUAACAGUCAUAGACCCUUAAAAUUAACUUUAGCGCCAUGAAGAUGAACUUUAGGUUGGGGUGACCACGGAGUACAAAAAAACCUCUACGCUGAACAAGCCUCAAAGCCUUGAGUAAAGGACCACAACCCGACACACUAAUAAACUAACACCCAUUGACCCAAUAAUCCUUUGAUCAACGAACCAA